This 2778-nucleotide long non-coding RNA is filed under the name Oryctolagus cuniculus (rabbit). RNAcentral describes it as "lncRNA (ENSOCUG00000031022.1)". Lineage: Eukaryota; Metazoa; Chordata; Mammalia; Lagomorpha; Leporidae. The record is from RNAcentral.
GGUGGUGGCACCUGCAGACCAGGCCGAGGCUAAUCAGAAGUAAACCUAGAGAUGGGUUGAGGGGACUUUACUAGGGACCCCUAGAGAUGGAAGACGUGGGAGAAGAGAAAUUGCCCCACUCAAAUCUCUUCCUACAAAUGCUCUGGAGCACCUCUUGAAGGCUCCAUGUGCUGAGGUGGACCCCAAAUCCUGCCAGAUGCCAUCACUUAUCCUCCUUUGGACACCUGCACAAAUAUUCCUGGGCCCAGUCUCCUGUUGAGGUCAUUCCUCGUGCCACUGCUUCUGUGUGGCCUCUAAAAACUGAGGGCAACUCCCUCAGCCCCUCUGCUUUUCCUUCAUUAGCAACCCUGCAAUACAAUGAUAAAGACAGGGAUGCACUGCACAGUUCUGACAGAAAUGGGACCCAUCCUGGGGUUGUCUGGGCUGUUGAAGUACUUUCCCUGGGUUGGAGCAUUUCACAUUAAUGAGAAUCUUUUCCCUGAAACUAGACAACUUGCUUCUGGCCGGCUUGUCCUUCAUUGUCCUCAGGGGGCUGUGAGAGUGGGCACCAGCACUCUGUGCUCCUCCUUCAAGCCUUCUACUGACAGCUUCCUCUCCUCCUAUCUUCCUGUCCCAGCCCCUCUGCAUUCUAAUGUGUCUGCCCUGUCCAUGUGAAGGCUCAUGUUGUCUGAACCAGAGAAUGAUUUAGAUCAGAUUGAUCUUAGAGGAUAAUCCUGUCUCUUGGGUGACAACCCUUUCAGACUGCUAGGAGGGAUUGGUGGGACUGGGUUGGAACUGAAUGACCUUGUGUUAAGCCCUCAUCUUUUCCACCCCUCCCAGCCUCUGCUCUGCAUCACACCUCGGGGUGUGUGAAGAUCCACCCCCACUGGAAGGGCCAGAUGUCAUUGUGCCUAUUCUCAAGGAUGAUGGAUCCUACAUGCUCUGUGCAGUUUGGAUGGAUGAUCCUGAAGCGCCAGUCCAGGCCUGUGCUGGGGCCUGGCACCCUACAGCCCAGCAGCCCAUCUGCUGUGCUGAGGCCAUUGUGGUGAAAGAUGCCACCUACCAAAAAGAGAAAGUCAUGUUGGCAACUGCUGAUUGGGCUGAGGCUACCUCCAGGGUGUGUGGAGAUCCACCCCCACUGGAAGGGCCAGAUGUCAUUGUGCCUAUCCUCAAGGAUGAUGGAUCCUACUUGCUCUGUGGAUACUGGGCAGAUGAGCCUGAAGCACCAGUCCAGGCCUGGGCUGGGGCUCUGCACCCUACAGCCCAGCAGCCCAUCUGCUGUGCGGAGGCCAUUGUGGUGGAAGAUAGCUCCAGCCAGAAGGAGAAAAUAGAGGUGGCAUCUGCAGAGCAGACUGAGGCCAUACCCAGGGUGGGUGGAGAUCCACCCCCACUGGAAGGGCCAGAUGUCAUCGUGCCUAUCCUCAAGGAUGACGGAUCCUACCUGCUCUGUGCAUAUUGGGCAGAUGAGCCUGAAGCCCCAGUCCAGGCCUGGGCUGGGGCCCUGCACCCUACAGCCCAGCAGCCCAUCUGCUGUGCUGAGGCCAUUCUCGUGGAAGAGCCCUCAUCACAAGAGGAGGAAGGGAAGGUGGCACGUGCAGACCAGGCUGAGGCUAAUCAGAGGGUGUGUGGAGAUCCACCCCCACUGGAAGGGCCAGAUGUCAUUGUGCCUAUCCUCAAGGAUGAUGGAUCCUACCUGCUCUGUGGAUACUGGGCAGAUGAGCCUGAAGCACCAGCCCAGGUCUGGGCUGAGGCCUUGCAUGCAAAAACUCAGCAGCCCAUCUGCUGUGCUGAGGCUUUUUGGGUGCUAAGAACUUCCUCUGGUGGAUACCAUGAAACCUGACUCUGUUCAUUCCAGGACCCCAUUUAUAUUAAAGUUUGGUUUUGUUAAUUAUUUGGGUUGAAUAUUUUGCUCCAUAAUCUUUAAACCUCACAAAUACAUGGAUUAGUAUAACACUGGAACCUGGAAUUCUAGGUGUCUUCUGAUAACUGUAGUCAAGAUUGCUCCUAUGCCACAGGACGUGUCUACAUGCAUCAAGUCUAGUGAAAAAAGCCAGACAUAGUCCAAUACCAUGUGAGUACAGGUUAAAGCAGACCUGCUAGGAGUGCACAGUAAGGAGGCAGUUCUAAGGUGAAUGCAAGAAUGCAUAUACUCAAGAUGAGCAUGAGAAUCUCUCAAGACAGUGAGGGAGUGUCAUUAGAAAGGCGUGUGGGACUCUUCUGGAAUCUUAGUGGGGAUAUUCACUUUCAACAACAUAUUAAUGUGUCCCCUUGAAUUUCAUGGGUCUUUCUCCAUACUGGUUUACAAAACAAAGGAAAAUGAUCGGGCCGGCACCAUGGCUCAAUAGGCUAAUCCUCCACCUAGCAGCACCGGCACACUGGGUUCUAGUCCCGGUUGGGGCACCAGAUUCUGUCCCAGUUGCUCCUCUUCCAGGCCAGCUCUCUGCUGUGGCCAGGGAGUGCAGUAGAGGAUGGCCCAAGUGCUUGUGCCCUGCACCCCAUGGGAGACCAAGAAAAGCACUUGGCUCCUGCCUUCAGAUCAGUGCGGUGUGUCGGUCACAGCGUGCCAGCUGUGGCAGCCUUUGGAGGGUGAACCAAUGGCAAAAAGGAAGACCUUUCUCUCUGUCUCUCUCUCUCACUGUCCACUCUGCCUGUCCAAAAAAAAAAAAAUGAUCAUUUCCUGUCAGCACAUCAUCACAGGAAGCACACAGGGAACUACAAAAUUUGGCUGUUUCUCUUCUGCACAGUGCAGUGAGCCUUGGGCCCCUUGCUGCCUGACUGUUGAGCAAAGGGUAGGAGGUG